GGUGACAGGGGGCGGGGGGCGGGGGUAAAACGGAGGGUGCGGGCGUGAAGGGGAAUGACUGGGCGUAAAGGGUGCGGAGGCGGUUUUGCAAGCCGGAGGUGAAAUCCCCGGGCUUAACCUGGGAAUGGCAGUUGGGACUGCAAGGCUGGAGUGCGGCAGAGGAGACUGGAAUUCCUGGUGUAGCAGUGAAAUGCGUAGAUAUCAGGAGGAAUACCGAUGGCGAAGGCAGGUCUCUGGGCUGACACUGACGCUCAUGCACGAAAGCGUGGGGAGCAAACAGGAUUAGAUACCCGUGUAGUC
RNAcentral lists this ribosomal RNA (300 nucleotides) under uncultured Pyrobaculum sp. RNAcentral describes it as "bacterial SSU rRNA". The stretch from base 52 to 300 matches the Rfam family "Bacterial small subunit ribosomal RNA", at positions 547 to 795 of the family's 1533-position model. The record is from RNAcentral. Lineage: Archaea; Thermoproteati; Thermoproteota; Thermoprotei; Thermoproteales; Thermoproteaceae.